CCUACGGGAGGCAGCAGUAGGGAAUUUUCGUCAAUGGGCGCAAGCCUGAACGAGCAAUGCCGCGUGAACGAGGAAGGUCUUCGGAUCGUAAAGUUCUGUUGAAGGGGAAAAAGAGCGGAGAGAGGAAAUGGUCUCCGAUUGAUAUUACCCUUCGAGGAAGUCACGGCUAACUACGUGCCAGCAGCGGCGGUAAUACGUAGGUGGCGAGCGUUAUCCGGAUUGAUUGGGCGAAAGGGGUGCGUAGGCGGCCUGCUAAGUCUGGAGUGAAAGGUACCGGCUCAACCGGUACAGGCUCUGGAAACUGGCGGGCUAGAGAGCAGGAGAGGGAGGUGGAACUCCAUGUGUAGCGGUAAAAUGCGUAGAUAUAUGGAAGAACACCAAUGGCGAAGGCGGCCGCCUGGCCUGUUACUGACGCUGAGGCACGAAAGCGUGGGGAGCAAAUAGGAUUAGAUACCCGGGUAGUC
RNAcentral lists this ribosomal RNA (464 nucleotides) under uncultured bacterium. Its description in RNAcentral is "partial 16S ribosomal RNA". It matches the Rfam family "Bacterial small subunit ribosomal RNA", at positions 338 to 795 of the family's 1533-position model. The record is from RNAcentral.